CAGUCGCCGCGGGAAUACGAAGGGUGCAAGCGUUACUCGGAAUUACUGGGCGCAAAGCGUGCGUAGGUGGUGGUUUAAGUCCGUUGUGAAAGCCCUGGGCUCAACCUGGGAAUUGCAGUGGAUACUGGAUCACUAGAGUGUGGUAGAGGAUAGUGGAAUUUCCGGUGUAGCAGUGAAAUGCGUAGAGAUCGGAAGGAACAUCUGUGGCGAAGGCGACUAUCUGGGCCAACACUGACACUGAGGCACGAAAGCGUGGGGAGCAAACAGGAUUAGAUACCCCCGUAGUCCCUGUCUCUUAUAA
RNAcentral lists this ribosomal RNA (301 nucleotides) under uncultured bacterium. RNAcentral describes it as "partial 16S ribosomal RNA". It matches the Rfam family "Bacterial small subunit ribosomal RNA", at positions 509 to 809 of the family's 1533-position model. The record is from RNAcentral.